Molecule: unclassified non-coding RNA, 621 nt
Filed under: Cyphellophora ludoviensis
Lineage: Eukaryota; Fungi; Ascomycota; Eurotiomycetes; Chaetothyriales; Cyphellophoraceae
Description: sequence contains 18S rRNA gene, ITS1, 5.8S rRNA gene, ITS2, 28S rRNA gene
Rfam family: 5.8S ribosomal RNA (bases 287-439)
Source: RNAcentral
CUCUCACGCCGACCAUUGUGAACAAUUCGCUAACUGCUUAAUAGGUGAACCUGCGGAAGGAUCAUUAUCGAGUAAGGGUGUUCCCAUCUGUGGCGCCCCGACCUCCAACCCUUUGUCUACUUGACCCUAUGUUGCUUCGGCAGGUCCGCCAGCGGGGAGCACCGCUCCCGCCGGCCGCCGGGGGGUUCUUGAACGACCCCGGGCCCGCGCCUGCCGACGGCCCUCCUACAUAAGUUCGUGCCUAAACGUGUAUGUCUGAGUGAGCAUAAAAUUCAAAAAUAGCAAAAACUUUCAACAACGGAUCUCUUGGUUCUGGCAUCGAUGAAGAACGCAGCGAAAUGCGAUAAGUAAUGCGAAUUGCAGAAUCCGUGAGUCAUCGAAUCUUUGAACGCAUAUUGCGCCCUUUGGUAUUCCGAAGGGCAUGCCUGUUCGAGCGUCAUUAUCACCCCUCAAGCUCGGCUUGUUGUUGGAACGUGGUGCCCGCAGUGCGGGCCGCCCUUCCCAAAGAUAAUGACGGCGUCUGCGAGGAUUCCUGUACACUGAGCUUUCGGGCACGUACUAGGCUUACUCCUCCGGACCCCGGUCGCACGUAAAUCUUACACUUCUAAGGUUGACCUCGGA